AUUGAUUUUAUGCUUGCAUAAAUGAUUUUUGGAUUCGGAGCGAGUGGCGAACUGGUGAGUAACACGUGGGUAACCUGCCCCGAAGCGGGGGAUAACAUUUGGAAACAAGUGCUAAUACCGCAUAAUUAGUUGGAACCGCAUGGUUCCAACUUGAAAGAUGGCUCUGCUAUCACUUUGGGAUGGACCCGCGCCGUAUUAGUUAGUUGGUGAGAUAAAAGCCCACCAAGACGAUGAUACGUAGCCGACCUGAGAGGGUAAUCGGCCACAUUGGGACUGAGACACGGCCCAGACUCCUACGGGAGGCAGCAGUAGGGAAUCUUCCACAAUGGACGAAAGUCUGAUGGAGCAACGCCGCGUGAGUGAUGAAGGUUUUCGGAUCGUAAAACUCUGUUGUUAAAGAAGAACAAGUGUUAGAGUAACUGUUAACACUUUGACGGUAUUUAACCAGAAAGCCACGGCUAACUACGUGCCAGCAGCCGCGGUAAUACGUAGGUGGCAAGCGUUGUCCGGAUUUAUUGGGCGUAAAGCGAGCGCAGGCGGUUCUGUAAGUCUGCUGUGAAAGCCCUCAGCUCAACUGAGGAAGUGCAGUGGAAACUACAAAACUUGAGUACAGAAGAGGAAAGUGGAACUCCAUGUGUAGCGGUGAAAUGCGUAGAUAUAUGGAAGAACACCAGUGGCGAAGGCGGCUUUCUGGUCUGUUACUGACGCUGAGGCUCGAAAGCAUGGGUAGCGAACAGGAUUAGAUACCCUGGUAGUCCAUGCCGUAAACGAUGAAUACUAGGUGUUGGAGGGUUUCCGCCCUUCAGUGCCGCAGCUAACGCAUUAAGUAUUCCGCCUGGGGAGUACGACCGCAAGGUUGAAACUCAAAGGAAUUGACGGGGGCCCGCACAAGUGGUGGAGCAUGUGGUUUAAUUCGAUGCUACGCGAAGAACCUUACCAGCUCUUGACAUCUUCUGCCAACCCAAGAGAUUGGGCGUUCCCUUCGGGGACAGAAUGACAGGUGGUGCAUGGUUGUCGUCAGCUCGUGUCGUGAGAUGUUGGGUUAAGUCCCGCAACGAGCGCAACCCUUAUUAUUAGUUGCCAGCAUUUAGUUGGGCACUCUAGUGAGACUGCCGGUGAUAAA
This 1123-nucleotide ribosomal RNA is filed under the name uncultured bacterium. RNAcentral's name for it is "bacterial SSU rRNA". It matches the Rfam family "Bacterial small subunit ribosomal RNA", at positions 47 to 1162 of the family's 1533-position model. The record is from RNAcentral.